Molecule: ribosomal RNA, 254 nt
Filed under: uncultured bacterium
Lineage: Bacteria
Description: partial 16S ribosomal RNA
Rfam family: Bacterial small subunit ribosomal RNA
Source: RNAcentral
UACGAAGGGGGCUAGCGUUGCUCGGAAUCACUGGGCGUAAAGCGCACGUAGGCGGCUUUCUAAGUCAGGGGUGAAAUCCCGGAGCUCAACUCCGGAACUGCCUUUGAUACUGGAAAGCUUGAGUUCGGGAGAGGUGAGUGGAACUGCGAGUGUAGAGGUGAAAUUCGUAGAUAUUCGCAAGAACACCAGUGGCGAAAGGCGGCUCACUGGCCCGAUACUGACGCUGAGGUGCGAAAGCGUGGGGAGCAAACGGG